Cherax quadricarinatus is the source of this 1173-nucleotide non-coding RNA. NCBI's taxonomy places the organism in Eukaryota, Metazoa, Arthropoda, Malacostraca, Decapoda, Parastacidae. The record is from RefSeq and is a predicted model, not a curated record.
UAGAAUUUUAUUUACAAGUUUUUACAAAAUUGUUAUAAAUGAUAUAAAUCAUCAUCUGAAGUAAUUUACAAUAGUAAUUAUAAUAAUUAUAAUUUUCCGGAUAAUUCACGAUUAUUAUAAAGAAAUUCUUAAGUUCAGGGAAUUAAAAAAAAUAUUAUUAAUAAAAAAAUAGGCAAAAAUUGAACAAUUUUAAGACGUAAGGCACAGUAAUUAUCACAGGUGUGUAGCAGGUGUUGUGGCAGGUGUUGUGGCAGGUGUUGUGGUAGGUGUUGUGGCAGGUGUGUAGCACGUGUUGUAGCAGGUGUGUAGCACUUGUGGCAGGUGUUGUGGCAAGUGUGUGUUGUGGCAGGUGUGUAGCAGGUGUUGUGGUAGGUGUGUAGCACUUGUGGCAGGUGUUGUGGCAAGUGUGUGUUGUGGCAGGUGUGCAGCAGUUGUGGCAGGUGUGUAGCAGAUGUUGUGGCAGGUGUGUAGCAGGUGUAUAGCAGGUGUUGUGGCAGGUGUGUAGCACGUGUUGUAGCAGGUGUUGUGGCAGGUGUGUAGCACUUGUGGCAGGUGUUGUGGCAAGUGUGUGUUGUGGCAGGUGUGUAGCAGGUGUUGUGGUAGGUGUUGUGGCAGGUGUUGUGGUAGGUGUUGUGUCAGGUGUGUAGCACGUGUUGUAGCAGGUGUUGUGGCAGGUGUGUAGCACUUGUGGCAGGUGUUGUGGCAAGUGUGUGUUGUGGCAGGUGUGUAGCAGUGUUGUGGUAUGUGUGUAGCAGGCGUUGUGGUAGGUGUUGUGGUAGGUGUUUAGCAGGUGUUGUGGUAGUUGUGGUAGGUGUGUAGGUGUUGUAGCAGGUGUUACGGCAGGUGUUGUGGCAGAUGUUGUAGCAGGUGUUGUGGCAGGUGUGUAGCACUUGUGGCAGGUGUUGUGGCAAGUGUGUGUUGUGGCAGGUGUGCAGCAGUUGUGGCAGGUGUGUAGCAGGUGCUGUCGCAGGUGUUGUGGCAGGUGUGUAGCAGGUGUUGUGGCAGAUGUGUAGCAUUUGUUGUUGCAGGUGUGUAGCAGGUGUUGUGGCAGAUGUGUAGCACUUGUUGUUGCAGGUGUGUAGCAGGUGUUGUGGCAGAUGUGUAGCAGGUGUGUAGGUGUUGUGGCAAGUGUGUAGCAACUGUUGUGGCAGGUGUGUAACAGGUGUUGUGGCA